AUACGGAGGGGGUUAGCGUUGUUCGGAAUUACUGGGCGUAAAGCGCACGUAGGCGGACUGGAAAGUUGGGGGUGAAAUCCCGGGGCUCAACCCCGGAACUGCCUCCAAAACUUCCAAUCUAGAGAUCGAGAGAGGUGAGUGGAAUUCCAAGUGUAGAGGUGAAAUUCGUAGAUAUUUGGAGGAACACCAGUGGCGAAGGCGGCUCACUGGCUCGAUACUGACGCUGAGGUGCGAAAGCGUGGGGAGCAAACAGAAUUAGAUACCCUAGUAGUCC
Molecule: ribosomal RNA, 274 nt
Filed under: uncultured bacterium
Lineage: Bacteria
Description: partial 16S ribosomal RNA
Rfam family: Bacterial small subunit ribosomal RNA
Source: RNAcentral